GACGAACGCUGGCGGCGUGCUUAACACAUGCAAGUCGAGCGGUAAGGCCCUUUCGGGGGUACACGAGCGGCGAACGGGUGAGUAACACGUGGGUGACCUGCCCUCAGCUCUGGGAUAAGCCUGGGAAACCGGGUCUAAUACUGGAUAUGACUCCAUGACGCAUGUUGUGGGGUGGAAAGCCUUGUGCGGCUGAGGAUGGGCCCGCGGCCUAUCAUCUUGUUGGUGGGGGUGANGGCCUACCAAGGCGACGACGGGUAGCCGGCCUGAGAGGGCGACCGGCCACACUGGGACUGAGACACGGCCCA
Molecule: ribosomal RNA, 305 nt
Filed under: uncultured bacterium
Lineage: Bacteria
Description: bacterial SSU rRNA
Rfam family: Bacterial small subunit ribosomal RNA
Source: RNAcentral